Carassius gibelio (silver crucian carp) is the source of this 271-nucleotide long non-coding RNA. RefSeq lists it as uncharacterized. Lineage: Eukaryota; Metazoa; Chordata; Actinopteri; Cypriniformes; Cyprinidae. The transcript is spliced from 3 exons. The record is from RefSeq and is a predicted model, not a curated record.
CUCGUCCACCUCCUUCUCCAGCGACAGCAGCUGAGACUGCAGUUUACUGCGCAGCGCAGGCAGAGUGUCACGGAUGUGAUUCGUCAGUUGCUGAAAGAGUCGACGGAACGCCACUGAGACGGGGUCAUGAGGCAAAGGAACUAUACGGUGUGUGUGUGUGUGUGUGUGUGUGUACCUGGUUAAGUGUCUUCUGCAGGUACAGUGUGUGUGUGUGUGUGUACCUGGUUGAGUGUCUUCUGCAGGUACAGUGUGUGUGUGUGUGUGUGUGUGU